AUUGAACGCUGGCGGCAGGCCUAACACAUGCAAGUCGAGCGGUUGAAGUUAGCUUGCUUCUGGAUUCAGCGGCGGACGGGUGAGUAAUUCCUAGGAAUCUGCCUGGUAGUGGGGGAUAACGUCCGGAAACGGGCGCUAAUACCGCAUACGUUCUGAGGGUUAAAGAGGGGUUUCUUCGUACCUCACUCUAUUAGCUGAGCCUAGGUCUGAUUAGCUAGUUGGUGGGGUAAAGGCCUACCAAGGCGACGAACCGUAACUGGUCUGAGAGGAUGAUGAGUCACACUGGAACUGAGAAACGGUCAAGACGCCUACGGGAGGAAGAAGUGGGGAAUAUUGGACAAUGGGCGAAAGCCUGAUCAAGACAUGCCGCGUGUGUGAAGAAGGUCUUCGGAUUGUAAAGCACGUUAAGUGGGGAGGAAGGGCAGUAAGUUAAUAACUUGAUGUUGUGACGUUAACAACAGAAUAAGCACCGGCUAACUUCGUG
This 484-nucleotide ribosomal RNA is filed under the name uncultured bacterium. Its description in RNAcentral is "partial 16S ribosomal RNA". It matches the Rfam family "Bacterial small subunit ribosomal RNA", at positions 30 to 507 of the family's 1533-position model. The record is from RNAcentral.